CAAAAACAUUGUCUUAUGAAUAUAAUAUUAGAUAAUUCCUGCCCAGUGACACCUGUUCAACGGCCGCGGUAUCCUAACCGUGCAAAGGUAGCAUAAUCAUUUGCCUAUUAAUUGUAGGCUAGAAUGAAUGGAUUAACGAAAUAAAGGCUGUCUCAAUUAACCACCUAAAAAUUAUUUUUUAUCCGAAGAAAGAUACAUAAACUCGAAGGACAAGAAGACCCUAUAGAGCUUAAUUUUAAUUAUAGAAUUACACUAUAAAAAUAUUCGGUUGGGGCGACCCAGGGCUAAUUAAUCACCCAUUAAAUAAAAGAUAAAUUAAUCUACUAAAUGACCCAUUAAUGAUCAUGAGAACAAGCUACCUUAGGGAUAACAGGCUAAUCCCACUUAAGAGUCCUUAUCAACAGUGGGGUUUGGCACCUCGAUGUUGGCUUAGGGUAUCCCUAUAGCGCAAAAGUUAUAUAAAGAUGGUUUGUUCAACCAAUAAUUCCCUACGUGAUUUUU
This 501-nucleotide ribosomal RNA is filed under the name Amynthas sp. FJ201108-09. RNAcentral's name for it is "partial 16S ribosomal RNA". It matches the Rfam family "Bacterial large subunit ribosomal RNA", at positions 1808 to 2608 of the family's 2925-position model. Lineage: Eukaryota; Metazoa; Annelida; Clitellata; Crassiclitellata; Megascolecidae. The record is from RNAcentral.